CUGCCCCGGAGCGGGGGAUAACAUUUGGAAACAGAUGCUAAUACCGCAUAACAACAAAAGCCACAUGGCUUUUGUUUGAAAGAUGGCUUUGGCUAUCACUCUGGGAUGGACCUGCGGUGCAUUAGCUAGUUGGUAAGGUAACGGCUUACCAAGGCGAUGAUGCAUAGCCGAGUUGAGAGACUGAUCGGCCACAAUGGAGCUGAGACACGGUCCAUACUCCUACGGGAGGCAGCAGUAGGGAAUCUUCCACAAUGGGCGCAAGCCUGAUGGAGCAACACCGCGUGAGUGAAGAAGGGUUUCGGCUCGUAAAGCUCUGUUGUUGGAGAAGAACGUGCGUGAGAGUAACUGUUCACGCAGUGACGGUAUCCAACCAGAAAGUCACGGCUAACUACGUGCCAGCAGCCGCGGUAAUACGUAGGUGGCAAGCGUUAUCCGGAUUUAUUGGGCGUAAAGCGAGCGCAGGCGGUUGCUUAGGUCUGAUGUGAAAGCCUUCGGCUUAACCGAAGAAGUGCAUCGGAAACCGGGCGACUUGAGUGCAGAAGAGGACAGUGGAACUCCAUGUGUAGCGGUGGAAUGCGUAGAUAUAUGGAAGAACACCAGUGGCGAAGGCGGCUGUCUGGUCUGCAACUGACGCUGAGGCUCGAAAGCAUGGGUAGCGAACAGGAUUAGAUACCCUGGUAGUCCAUGCCGUAAAC
This 695-nucleotide ribosomal RNA is filed under the name uncultured bacterium. RNAcentral's name for it is "bacterial SSU rRNA". It matches the Rfam family "Bacterial small subunit ribosomal RNA", at positions 126 to 807 of the family's 1533-position model. The record is from RNAcentral.